GACGAACGCUGGCGGCGUGCUUAACACAUGCAAGUCGAACGAAGAGCGAUGGAAGCUUGCUUCUAUCAAUCUUAGUGGCGAACGGGUGAGUAACGCGUAAUCAACCUGCCCUUCAGAGGGGGACAACAGUUGGAAACGACUGCUAAUACCGCAUACGAUCUAACCUCGGCAUCGAGGAUAGAUGAAAGGUGGCCUCUACAUGUAAGCUAUCACUGAAGGAGGGGAUUGCGUCUGAUUAGCUAGUUGGAGGGGUAACGGCCCACCAAGGCGAUGAUCAGUAGCCGGUCUGAGAGGAUGAACGGCCACAUUGGGACUGAGACACGGCCCAGACUCCUACGGGAGGCAGCAGUGGGGAAUCUUCCGCAAUGGACGAAAGUCUGACGGAGCAACGCCGCGUGAGUGAUGACGGCCUUCGGGUUGGAAAGCUCGGUUAAUCGGGACGAAAGGCCUUCUUGCGAAUAGUUAGAAGGAUUGACGGUACCGGAAGAGAAAGCCACGGCUAACUACGUG
RNAcentral lists this ribosomal RNA (510 nucleotides) under uncultured bacterium. RNAcentral describes it as "partial 16S ribosomal RNA". It matches the Rfam family "Bacterial small subunit ribosomal RNA", at positions 28 to 507 of the family's 1533-position model. The record is from RNAcentral.